Molecule: unclassified non-coding RNA, 328 nt
Filed under: uncultured Eubacteriales bacterium
Lineage: Bacteria; Bacillati; Bacillota; Clostridia; Eubacteriales
Description: uncultured Clostridiales bacterium 16S-23S ribosomal RNA intergenic spacer
Source: RNAcentral
UUAGGGAGUAGAAUAUUCUACACCAUGUCGAGGCUGAUACCUUUAGUAUCAGUCGCUCUUAUCACCUUUACGGGUGACAGAGCUUAAAGAUUAAAAAAACACGACUGCUUUUACCAAUUCCUGCCUGUUCAUUUGUUAAGGUGCGCCAUAGCAAAGACGCACCUUGACAACCGCAUAAAAAACACAAAUAUUAAAGAUAUCUAAUAAAUGAGUAAUACAAGUAUAAGUAAUACAAGUAUGAGUAAUACAAACAUUCACAAUUUUGAAUAAAUACAGAUAUUUUGCUAAGGUUAAACCUAACAAUUAGAAAGACAUAGAUUUUGAUUAC